UGGGGAAUAUUGCACAAUGGGCGAAAGCCUGAUGCAGCCAUGCCGCGUGAGUGAUGAAGGCCUUAGGGUUGUAAAGCUCUUUCACCGGUGAAGAUAAUGACGGUAGCCGGAGAAGAAGCCCCGGCUAACUCCGUGCCAGCAGCCGCGGUAAUACGGAGGGGGCUAGCGUUGUUCGGAAUUACUGGGCGUAAAGCGCACGUAGGCGGAUUUGUAAGUUGGGGGUGAAAGCCCAAGGCUCAACCUUGGAAUUGCCUUCGAUACUGCAUGUCUAGAGUCCGGAAGAGGUGAGUGGAAUUCCUAGUGUAGAGGUGAAAUUCGUAGAUAUUAGGAAGAACACCAGUGGCGAAGGCGGCUCACUGGUCCGGUACUGACGCUGAGGUGCGAAAGCGUGGGGAGCAA
RNAcentral lists this ribosomal RNA (399 nucleotides) under uncultured bacterium. RNAcentral describes it as "bacterial SSU rRNA". It matches the Rfam family "Bacterial small subunit ribosomal RNA", at positions 355 to 771 of the family's 1533-position model. The record is from RNAcentral.